UGGGGAAUAUUGGACAAUGGGCGAAAGCCUGAUCCAGCAACGCCGCGUGAGGGAUGACGGCCUUCGGGUUGUAAACCUCUUUCUGUAGGGACGAAGCGCAAGUGACGGUACCUACAGAAGAAGCACCGGCCAACUACGUGCCAGCAGCCGCGGUAAUACGUAGGGUGCGAGCGUUGUCCGGAAUUAUUGGGCGUAAAGGGCUCGUAGGCGGUUUGUCGCGUCGGGAGUGAAAACUCAGGGCUUAACCCUGAGCCUGCUUCCGAUACGGGCAGACUAGAGGUAUGCAGGGGAGAACGGAAUUCCUGGUGUAGCGGUGAAAUGCGCAGAUAUCAGGAGGAACACCGGUGGCGAAGGCGGUUCUCUGGGCAUUACCUGACGCUGAGGAGCGAAAGUGUGGGGAGCGAACAGG
This 409-nucleotide ribosomal RNA is filed under the name bacterium. Its description in RNAcentral is "partial 16S ribosomal RNA". It matches the Rfam family "Bacterial small subunit ribosomal RNA", at positions 355 to 776 of the family's 1533-position model. The record is from RNAcentral.